Long non-coding RNA from Anolis carolinensis (green anole), 9005 nucleotides. RefSeq lists it as uncharacterized. NCBI's taxonomy places the organism in Eukaryota, Metazoa, Chordata, Lepidosauria, Squamata, Anolidae. The record is from RefSeq and is a predicted model, not a curated record. The transcript is spliced from 3 exons.
AAAGGAGGCAGGAGGUAAGGAAGAGAGUCAGGAGGUAAGGAAGAGUUGCAACUGGUAAGAAAGUGCUGCAGCAGGUAAGGAAGAGAGUCAGAAGGUAAGGAAGAGCUGCAGCAGGUAAAGAAGAGAUGCAACAGGUAAGGAAGAGAGUCAAGAGAUAGGGAAGAGAUGCAACAGGUAAGGAAGAGGGUCAGGAGGUAAGGAAGAGCUACAGCAGGUAAAGAAGAGAUGCAACAGGUAAGGAAGAGAGGCAGGAGGUAAGGAAGAGAGUCAGGAGGUAAGGAAGAGCUGCAACAGGUAAGGAAGAGAGUCAGGAGGUAAGGAAGAGCUGCAGCAGGUAAGGAAGAGAGUCAGGAGGUAAGGAAGAGCUGCAGCAGGUAAAGAAGAGAGUCAGGAGGUAAGGAAGAGCUGCAACAGGUAAGGAAGAGAGUCAGGAGGUAAGGAAGAGCUGCAACAGGUAAGGAAAGGAGGCAGGAGGUAAGGGAGAGAGUCAGGAGGUAAGGAAGAGCUGCAACUGGUAAGGAAGACCUGCAGCAGGUAAGGAAGAGAGUCAGAAGGUAAGGAAGAGCUGCAGCAGGUAAAGAAGAGAUGCAACAGGUAAGGAAGAGAGUCAAGAGAUAGGGAAGAGAUGCAACAGGUAAGGAAGAGGGUCAGGAGGUAAGGAAGAGCUGCAGCAGGUAAGGAAGAGAGUCAGGAGGUAAGGAAGAGCUGCAACAGGUAAGGAAGAGAGUCAGGAGGUAAGGAAGAGCUGCAGCAGGUAAGGAAGAGAGUCAGGAGGUAAGGAAGAGCUGCAGCAGGUAAGGAAGAGAGUCAAGAGAUAGGGAAGAGCUGCAGCAGGUAAGGAAGAGAGUCAGGAGGUAAGGAAGAGCUGCAACAGGUAAGGAAGAGAGUCAGGAGGUAAGGAAGAGCUGCAACAGGUAAGGAAAGGAGGCAGGAGGUAAGGGAGAGAGUCAGGAGGUAAGGAAGAGCUGCAACUGGUAAGGAAGACCUGCAGCAGGUAAGGAAGAGAGUCAGAAGGUAAGGAAGAGCUGCAGCAGGUAAAGAAGAGAUGCAACAGGUAAGGAAGAGAGUCAAGAGAUAGGGAAGAGAUGCAACAGGUAAGGAAGAGGGUCAGGAGGUAAGGAAGAGCUGCAGCAGGUAAGGAAGAGAGUCAGGAGGUAAGGAAGAGCUGCAACAGGUAAGGAAGAGAGUCAGGAGGUAAGGAAGAGCUGCAGCAGGUAAGGAAGAGAGUCAGGAGGUAAGGAAGAGCUGCAGCAGGUAAGGAAGAGAGUCAAGAGAUAGGGAAGAGCUGCAGCAGGUAAGGAAGAGAGUCAGGAGGUAAGGAAGAGCUGCAACAGGUAAGGAAGAGAGUCAGGAGGUAAGGAAGAGCUGCAUCAGGUAAGGAAGAGAUGCAACAGGUAAGGAAGAGAGUCAGGAGGUAAGGAAGAGAGUCAGGAGGUAAGGAAGAGCUGCAUCAGGUAAGGAAGAGAUGCAACAGGUAAGGAAGAGAGUCAGGAGGUAAGGAAGAGCUGCAUCAGGUAAGGAAGAGAGUCAGGAGGUAAGGAAGAGCUGCAUCAGGUAAGGAAGAGAGUCAGGAGGUAAGGAAGAGCUGCAUCAGGUAAGGAAGAGAGUCAGGAGGUAAGGAAGAGCUGCAUCAGGUAAGGAAGAGAGUCAGGAGGUAAGGAAGAGCUGCAUCAGGUAAGGAAGAGCUGCAGCAGGUAAGGAAGAGAGUCAGAAGGUAAGGAAGAGCUGCAACAGGUAUGGAAGAGAUGCAACAGGUAAGGAAGAGAGUCAGGAGGUAAGGAAGAGAGUCAGGAGGUAAGGAAGAGCUGCAGCAGGUAAGGAAGAGCUGCAGCAGGUAAGGAAGAGAGUCAGGAGGUAAGGAAGAGCUGCAACAGGUAAGGAAGAGAGUCAGAAGGUAAGGAAGAGAGUCAGGAGGUAAGGAAGAGAGUCAGGAGGUAAGGAAGAGCUGCAUAAGGUAAGGAAGAGAUGCAACAGGUAAGGAAGAGAGUCAGGAGGUAAGGAAGAGCUGCAGCAGGUAAGGAAGUGAGUCAGAAGGUAAGGAAGAGAGUCAGGAGGUAAGGAAGAGCUGCAGCAGGUAAGGAAGAGAGUGAGGAGGUAAGGAAGAGAGUCAGGAGGUAAGGAAGAGCUGCAACAGGUAAGGAAGAGAUGCAACAGGUAAGGAAGAGAGGCUGGAGAUAAGGAAUAGCUGCAACAGUAAGGAAUAGCUGCAAGAGGUAAGGAAGAGCUGCAGUGGGUAAGGAAUAGCUGCAACAGUAAGGAAGAGAUGCAACAGGUAAGGAAGAGGUGCAACAGGUAAGGAAGAAUUGCAGCAGCUAAGGAAGAGAGUUAGGAGGUAAGGAAGAGCUGCAACAGGUAAGGAAGAGCUGCAGCAAGUAAGGAAGAGCGUCAGGAGGUAAGGAAGAGCUACAGCAGGUAAAGAAGAGAUGCAACAGGUAAGGAAGAGAGUCAAGAGAUAGGGAAGAGAUGCAACAGGUAAGGAAGAGAGGCAGGAGGUAAGGAAGAGUUGCAGCAGGUAAGGAAGAGAUGCAACAGGUAAGGAAGAGGGUCAAGAGAUAGUGAAUAGCUGCAGCAGGUAAGGAAGAGAUGCAACAGGUAAGGAAGAGAGUCAGGAGGUAAGGAAGAGCUGCAGCAAGUAAGGAAGAGAUGCAACAGGUAAGGAAGAGAGUCAGGAGGUAAGGAAGAGAGUCAGGAGGUAAAGAAGAGAGUCAGGAGGUAAGGAAGAGAGUCAGGAGGUAAGGAAGAGCUGCAGCAGGUAAGGAAGAGAGUCAGAAGGUAAGGAAGAGAGUCAGGAGGUAAGGAAGAGCUGCAGCAGGUAAGGAAGAGAUGCAACAGGUAAGGAAGAGAGUCAGGAGGUAAGGAAGAGCUGCAGCAAGUAAGGAAGAGAUGCAACAGGUAAGGAAGAGAGUCAGGAGGUAAAGAAGAGAGUCAGGAGGUAAGGAAGAGAGUCAGGAGGUAAGGAAGAGCUGCAGCAGGUAAGGAAGAGAGUCAGAAGGUAAGGUAGAGAGUCAGGAGGUAAGGAAGAGCUGCAGCAGGUAAGGAAGAGAUGCAACAGGUAAGGAAGAGAGUCAGGAGGUAAGGAAGAGCUGCAGCAAGUAAGGAAGAGAUGCAACAGGUAAGGAAGAUAGUCAGGAGGUAAGGAAGAGAGGCAGGAGGUAAGGAAGAGUUGCAGCAAGUAAGGAAGAGAUGCAACAGGUAAGGAAGAGGGUCAAGAGAUAGUGAAUAGCUGCAGCAGGUAAGGAAGAGAUGCAACAGGUAAGGAAGAGAGGCAGGAGGUAAGGAAGAGCUGCAGCAGGUAAGGAAGAGAUGCAACAGGUAAGGAAGAGAGGCAGGAGGUAAGGAAGAGAGUCAGGAGGCAAGGAAGAGCUACAGCAGGUAAAGAAGAGAUGCAACAGGUAAGGAAGAGAGUCAAGAGAUAGGGAAGAGAUGCAACAGGUAAGGAAGAGAGGCAGGAGGUAAGGAAGAGUUGCGGCAGGUAAGGAAGAGAUGCAACAGGUAAGGAAGAGAGGCAGGAGGUAAGGAAGAGCUGCAGCAGGUAAGGAAGAGAUGCAACAGGUAAGGAAGAGAUGCAACAGGUAAGGAAGAGAGUCAGGAGGUAAGGAAGAGAGUCAGGAGGUAAGGAAGAGCUGCAGCAGGUAAAGAAGAGAUGCAACAGGUAAGGAAGAGAGUCAAGAGAUAGGGAAGAGAUGCAACAGGUAAGGAAGAGAGUCAGGAGGUAAGGAAGAGCUGCAGCAGGUAAGGAAGAGAGUGAGGAGGUAAGGAAGAGAGUCAGGAGGUAAGGAAGAGCUGCAGCAAGUAAGGAAGAGAUGCAACAGGUAAGGAAGAGAGUCAGGAGGUAAGGAAGAGAGUCAGGAGGUAAGGAAGAGCUGCAGCAAGUAAGGAAGAGAUGCAACAGGUAAGGAAGAGAGUCAGAAGGUAAGGAAGAGAGUCAGGAGGUAAGGAAGAGCUGCAGCAGGUAAGGAAGAGAUGCAACAGGUAAGGAAGAGCUGCAGUGGGUAAGGAAUAGCUGCAACAGUAAGGAAGAGAUGCAACAGGUAAGGAAGAGGUGCAACAGGUAAGGAAGAGCUGCAGCAAGUAAGGAAGAGAGUCAGGAGGUAAGGAAGAGCUGCAACAGGUAAGGAAGAGCUGCAACAGGUAAGGAAGAGAGUCAGGAGGUAAGGAAGAGCUGCAACAGGUAUGGAAGAGAUGCAACAGGUAAGGAAGAGAGUCAGAAGGUAAGGAAGAGAGUCAGGAGGUAAGGAAGAGAGUCAGGAGGUAAGGAAGAGCUGCAUCAGGUAAGGAAGAGAUGCAACAGGUAAGGAAGAGAGUCAGAAGGUAAGGAAGAGAGUCAGGAGGUAAGGAAGAGAGUCAGGAGGUAAGGAAGAGCUGCAUCAGGUAAGGAAGAGAUGCAACAGGUAAGGAAGAGAGUCAGGAGGUAAGGAAGAGCUGCAGCAGGUAAGGAAGUGAGUCAGAAGGUAAGGAAGAGAGUCAGGAGGUAAGGAAGAGAUGCAGCAGGAAAGGAAGAGAGUGAAGAGGUAAGGAAGAGAGUCAGGAGGUAAGGAAGAGCUGCAACAGGUAAGGAAGAGAUGCAACAGGUAAGGAAGAGAGGCUGGAGAUAAGGAAUAGCUGCAACAGUAAGGAAUAGCUGCAAGAGGUAAGGAAGAGCUGCAGUGGGUAAGGAAUAGCUGCAACAGUAAGGAAGAGAUGCAACAGGUAAGGAAGAGGUGCAACAGGUAAGGAAGAGCUGCAGCAAGUAAGGAAGAGAGUCAGGAGGUAAGGAAGAGCUGCAACAGGUAAGGAAGAGCUGCAACAGGUAAGGAAGAGAGUCAGGAGGUAAGGAAGAGCUGCAACAGGUAUGGAAGAGAUGCAACAGGUAAGGAAGAGAGUCAGAAGGUAAGGAAGAGAGUCAGGAGGUAAGGAAGAGAGUCAGGAGGUAAGGAAGAGCUGCAUCAGGUAAGGAAGAGAUGCAACAGGUAAGGAAGAGAGUCAGAAGGUAAGGAAGAGAGUCAGGAGGUAAGGAAGAGAGUCAGGAGGUAAGGAAGAGCUGCAUCAGGUAAGGAAGAGAUGCAACAGGUAAGGAAGAGAGUCAGGAGGUAAGGAAGAGCUGCAGCAGGUAAGGAAGUGAGUCAGAAGGUAAGGAAGAGAGUCAGGAGGUAAGGAAGAGAUGCAGCAGGAAAGGAAGAGAGUGAAGAGGUAAGGAAGAGAGUCAGGAGGUAAGGAAGAGCUGCAACAGGUAAGGAAGAGAUGCAACAGGUAAGGAAGAGAGGCUGGAGAUAAGGAAUAGCUGCAACAGUAAGGAAUAGCUGCAAGAGGUAAGGAAGAGCUGCAGUGGGUAAGGAAUAGCUGCAACAGUAAGGAAGAGAUGCAACAGGUAAGGAAGAGGUGCAACAGGUAAGGAAGAAUUGCAGCAGCUAAGGAAGAGAGUUAGGAGGUAAGGAAGAGCUGCAACAGGUAAGGAAGAGCUGCAGCAAGUAAGGAAGAGAGUCAGGAGGUAAGGAAGAGCUGCAACAGGUAAGGAAGAGCUGCAACAGGUAAGGAAGAGAGUCAGGAGGUAAGGAAGAGCUGCAACAGGUAUGGAAGAGAUGCAACAGGUAAGGAAGAGAGUCAGGAGGUAAGGAAGAGCUGCAGCAGGUAAAGAAGAGAUGCAACAGGUAAGGAAGAGAGUCAAGAGAUAGGGAAGAGAUGCAACAGGUAAGGAAGAGAGGCAGGAGGUAAGGAAGAGUUGCGGCAGGUAAGGAGGAUCUGCAGCAGGUAAAGAGCUGCCGCAUGUCAGAAGGAGAUGCCCAUUGGCCCGUCACUGGGGCGGAGAGACUAUCACUUGCCCCAACGGUGCUCUUUUGCUGAGUUGGAUACUUCCUUCUGUCCGUGGUUUUUCUCGGCCUCAUCUGUUCAGAGGAGCUUUGCACAGCCUGCCCAUCUCCAGAUCGCUUUCUGAGUUGAGGUGGAUGGAUGGAUGGCUGUGUGCUUUCAAGUUCUCUCAGGGCUGAAGUUUUCUGGUACUUAGUUUGAAAGUACAGUAGUUUCUAUACUCCAAAAACCUUUUUGUCCUUCCACAAACCAUGUUGAAUUGGUUGAGAUAUUCCCUGAAAAACUAAUAGCUAAAUGUGUUCUAGCAGGAUGUCCUUCCUGCAAAGACAAUUUUUAUUUUUGCAGUUUAAUAAACCUUUUCCAUGAUUUUGUAGUAGAACCAAUUAGGAAAUAUUUCUAACCCAGGAACAAAAAUCGAGUUAUAUAGUGUAAUUUAAAAGUGCAUGUGCUCCAACUCUCCCAGUUUUGCCAGGACCUAUCCAAAUGAACCUACUACCGUAUAUACUCGAGUAUAAGCCGACCCGAAUAUAAGCCGAGGCACCUAAUUUUACCACAAAAAAAACUGGGAAAACAUUGACUCCAGUAUAAGCCGAGGGUGGAAAAUUUCAGAAAUAAAAAUAGAUACCAAUAAAAUUACAUUAAUUGAGGCAUCAGUAGGUUAAAUGUUUUUGAAUAUUUACAUAAAGCUCAAAUUUAAGAUAAGACUGUUUGACUCUGAUCCAAUCAUGAUUCUCAUCUUCUUCAAUGUAAAUGUGCUUAUGUAUCCUUUUAAUAAUAAUAGAGUAAAAUAAUACAUGUAAUAAUAAUAAUAAUAAUAAUAAUAAUAAUAAAUACAGGAAAAUAAUACAUGUAAUAACAAUGAUAAGAUCAGAGUGAAACAAUAAAUGUAUUAAUAAUAAUAAAAAUAGAGUAAAAUAAAUGUAAUAGUAGCAACAAUAAUAGAGAAAAAUAAUAAAUGUAAUAAUACCAAUAAUAAUAGAGAAAAAUAAUAAAUGUACCAUAUAUUCUUGAGUAUAAGCUGACCCAAAUACAGUAGUCUCACUUAUCCAACAUAAACGGGCCAGCAGAACGUUGGAUAAGCGAAUAUGUUGGAUAAUGAGAGAUUAAGGAAAAGCCUAUUAAACAUCAAAUUAGGUUAUGAUUUUACAAAUUAAGCACCAAAACAUCAUGUUAUACAACAAAUUUGACAAAAAAGAAGUUCAAUACGCAGUAAUGCUAUGUAGUAAUGACUGUAUUUACAAAUUUAGCACCAAAAUAUUACGAUGUAUUGAAAACAUUGACUACAAAAAUGCGUUGGAUAAUCCAGAAUGUUGGAUAAGCGAGUGUUGGAUAAGUGAGACUCUACUGUAUAAGCCAACCAGGACCCUCACCUGAGUAUAAGCCGAGGGGGGCUUUUUCAGUCUUAAAAAAGGGCUGAAAAACUAGACUUAUACUCGAGUAUAUACAGUAUUUCAAUCUUUACUCUUUGCUUAACAAUGUUGCCAACUUACCAAAUUAAUUGCCCUGGCCUGCUCCUGUGCACUUUUACUUUGCAGUAGUUUGGUGUAAAGAAAAAUUGAAUUGAUGGUUGUUAUCGCAUGCUGCAAAGCAAAGUAUUCAUACAAGCACAAACACUCAGUAAGUUGGCAACCUUUCUAUGUAAUUUCAAUAUUUUCCAUCCCUUUGCAGGGAUCUGGCUGCAAAGUGCAUUAGCCUUUCUAUCAUGAGUAAAUAGAGCCCGAAGAUUAGCAAGGGGCCAUUAAGCGAGGCCAGCCAUUGUGGCAAUGGAAGAAUUUGACAAGAAUUCAGGUGUGGCGUGGAAAAGUCUUUCACCUGAAAGGUUCUUUCCAGGAUUUUGGACUCUGGACCCUUACGAGGCAAUUCCUCUUCAGGAAUUUGCAUUGAAAGGGGAAACACUAUUGGCUGGGGCUUUUGUGUGCAGAACGUCCUGUGAGUGUUUACAUAUGCAGGUGACAAAAAAACAAUAUUGUAGUCCAAAACACCUGGAGGGCCCAAGUUUGCCCAUGCUUGCUCUAUACUAUACCCCAUACUAUACCAUACCAUAAACUGUGUAUUAAUAUCAAUACUGAAAUAUUAUUAUUAUUAUUAUUAUUAUUAUUAUUAUUAUUAUUAUUAUUUUAUUAUGACACAGCAAACAAGAUAGACAUGCUGGAUUUCGUAUCAAAAAAUCACAAGUCGAACACUUCCCAAGUGUCUAGGGCUAUGUGAUGUAUUAUUAUUAUUAUUAUUAUUAUUAUUAUUAUUAUUAUUAUUAUUAUUAUUGUAUGAAACACUUCCCAAGUGUCUAGGAAUGUGAUGUAUUAUUAUUAUUAUUAUUAUUAUUAUUAUUAUUGUAUGAAACACUUCCCAAGUGUCUAGGACUGUGUGAUGUAUUAUUAUUAUUAUUAUUAUUAUUAUUAUUAUUAUUAUUAUUAUUAUUAUUAUUAUUAUUAUUAUUGUAUGAAACACUUCCCAAGUGUCUAGGAAUGUGUGAUGUAUAUUAUUAUUAUUAUUAUUAUUAUUAUUAUUAUUAUUAUUUUAUUAUGACACAGCAAACAAGAUAGAUAUGCUGGAUUUCGUAUCACAAAAUCACAAGUCGAACACUUCCCAAGUGUCUAGGACUGUGUGAUGUAUUUUCGGAUGAUGCGUGCAGAUCCCAGUAGGGUGGCCUUUUGCAGUUGGCCGAUCGUAAUUUUGUCAAUGUCUAUUGUUUCCAAAUGCCGGCUGAGAUCUUUUGGCACGGCACCCAGUGUGCCCAUCACCACCGGGACCACCUGCACUGGUUUCUGCCAGAGUCUUUGAAAAUUGAAAUAAUAAUAAUUAUUAUUAUUAUUAUUAUAUUUAUCUAUACCCUGCUUUAUCUCUCCCGAAAGAGACUCAAAGUAAUUAAAAGCAAAUAACAAAAAAGCCCUAUUCAUUCAAGUAUUUCUUUGAUCUCAUUGUAAUUUACAUGAGAGUGUCCAUUCACUGAGAGCCUACCAUACUGUGCUUGUACUGUACUCGGUACUGUGACACCGAGUGCUGUACUUCCUCAUUCCUUUCCGCAUGUUGCUGGCAGUUUUGUGGUGUUGUAAAUUAUUUAAAUUAGCCUCCUGCAUACUGUACUUUCCCAGGUAGCUUCAAGUCAAAGCGCAAACCUGAGUGCAGGUUACCUCCGAUAUGGGGUGGACUAGAUGGCUUUCAGGUCCCUCCUAAUGCAAUUUGAGGUCGAUUCGACCCCUUCCCCACAUUGUCUUUCUUCU